Dunckerocampus dactyliophorus (ringed pipefish) is the source of this 1288-nucleotide long non-coding RNA. RefSeq lists it as uncharacterized. The transcript has 3 exons. The record is from RefSeq and is a predicted model, not a curated record. NCBI's taxonomy places the organism in Eukaryota, Metazoa, Chordata, Actinopteri, Syngnathiformes, Syngnathidae.
UUAUCAGUGAACUGUAAUGUUAGCAAGCUCAACAGGCUGGUCGCGGAACCUUUUCCUGAUCACGAGAAUCACUCGUGUUGCUAGGCGGAAUUCUUAGGUUACAUUAUUUUACUGUCCUAAUACGCUCAGUAUAAAAUCUAACGCAAGGCUAAGAAAUAAUAAUUAUAAUACUACUGUAAACAUGAGACGUGGUUAUUUAUGAAGAACAACUUUGCAAUUAAACCCCUCCUACUAAAUGUCACAAGCUGUUGGGGAGAAAGAGUGCUGCAGCUAAGAAUCCAGCAGAGGGCAAUGUCUCACAAGCAAGCAACAAGACGAUGCUUUGACGAGACAUGAUGUCGUGUACGUGCAUGUUUUGUAGACAGCGAGAUUCAAACGGACACCUGAAGAUGCAGAGGAACCCUCUCAAGUUUCUCCCUAGUCGCCCAUUCCCAGAAUGCACUCUGAGGACGCUAUUCUCUGGGAAGUCUUGGCAUGGUGCGCAUGGGAGAUCAGGAUGGAUGCUUCAGUGGCUGCAUUGUGAAGGACAGCCCCACUGAUAACCGGUCCUCAUGGGUAAGACAUAUACUGGAUGAAUAUUUACAUGCAUUAAUCCCCUGCUACCUUUAUCUCAUAUCCUGUGUGCUCAGACUGUUUUGCAUACAACAACAAUAGUAUAAACCCAUAGUGUCAUGCAUUUACAGUGUAGUGUAUUGUUAGGACUGCACUCUACUCACCAUAUAUUGCCAUCCAUUCAUUCAUUCAGUCAGUCAUUAUUCAUCCAGUGGUAUAUUCGUGCAUAUUUUUGCACACUAUAUUCACUGUAAUGCAAAAACAGUUUACCUUCUAAAUGUGUAAAAUUGUAUCACUUCCCAAUGUACUGCUUAAAAGUCCAGACAUUUAAUAUGGCAGCGUGUAAACUGAUUUACUAAUAUGUUCAUUCUGUUUUAUCACCAUACUGCUGUGUUGAUAGUGAAAACUGUGCACGGUGAGCACAAAAGAAGCGCACUCAGGUCUUAUCUCCACGUGGCUUUGAGCCCACGUGGGGGAGCUUCCGUCACACUUUUCAGGCCACCGUUGAGAUCAGAGAACGUUACAUAACAACCACCAUGUUGGGGCCUGCGUGAGGCUCUGGGGGCUCAGGCUUCCACACUUCCACAUGAGGCCCAAAGUUCAUCUUCAACGGACGUUUGCUGUCUUCCUUCUGUCCAUGUUUUUUUUUUCUGAUUGUGCGGCAGCAAUUUCAAAAUUGAACUGCUUUCAGCUGAAAACAACAUGUGCUUCAACAUGUGUCUCACUAUUUGCCAAA